AUGGACCACGCGUCAACUGCGGUCAUGGGCGCGCCGUCCGCGCCCACCUGACAGCUGCUCGCUACGUGUUGUUAGCC
Molecule: small RNA, 77 nt
Filed under: Xanthomonas oryzae
Lineage: Bacteria; Pseudomonadati; Pseudomonadota; Gammaproteobacteria; Lysobacterales; Lysobacteraceae
Also listed under: 4 other names
Description: sX9 sRNA
Rfam family: Xanthomonas sRNA sX9
Source: RNAcentral